GUGCUCACUUUGGCAACAUACCUACUAAAAUUGGAAUGAUACAGAGAAGAUUAGCAUGUCCCUUGCGCAAGGAUGACCUGCAAAUUCGUGAAGUGUUCUAUAUUUUUUAAGA
Molecule: small nuclear RNA, 112 nt
Filed under: Pan troglodytes (chimpanzee)
Lineage: Eukaryota; Metazoa; Chordata; Mammalia; Primates; Hominidae
Source: RNAcentral